RNAcentral lists this ribosomal RNA (366 nucleotides) under Kosakonia cowanii. Its description in RNAcentral is "bacterial SSU rRNA". It matches the Rfam family "Bacterial small subunit ribosomal RNA", at positions 87 to 456 of the family's 1533-position model. Lineage: Bacteria; Pseudomonadati; Pseudomonadota; Gammaproteobacteria; Enterobacterales; Enterobacteriaceae. The record is from RNAcentral.
GCUGACGAGUGGCGGACGGGUGAGUAAUGUCUGGGAAACUGCCUGAUGGAGGGGGAUAACUACUGGAAACGGUAGCUAAUACCGCAUAACGUCGCAAGACCAAAGAGGGGGACCUUCGGGCCUCUUGCCAUCAGAUGUGCCCAGAUGGGAUUAGCUAGUAGGUGGGGUAACGGCUCACCUAGGCGACGAUCCCUAGCUGGUCUGAGAGGAUGACCAGCCACACUGGAACUGAGACACGGUCCAGACUCCUACGGGAGGCAGCAGUGGGGAAUAUUGCACAAUGGGCGCAAGCCUGAUGCAGCCAUGCCGCGUGUAUGAAGAAGGCCUUCGGGUUGUAAAGUACUUUCAGCGGGGAGGAAGGCGAUG